ACUCCUACGGGAGGCAGCAGUGGGGAAUAUUGGACAAUGGGGGAAACCCUGAUCCAGCCACGCCGCGUGAGUGAUGAAGGCCUUCGGGUUGUAAAGCUCUGUCGUGAGGGAAGAAGUUCUGACGGUACCUCACGAGAAAGCACCGGCUAACUCCGUGCCAGCAGCCGCGGUAAUAC
This 176-nucleotide ribosomal RNA is filed under the name uncultured bacterium. RNAcentral describes it as "partial 16S ribosomal RNA". It matches the Rfam family "Bacterial small subunit ribosomal RNA", at positions 335 to 526 of the family's 1533-position model. The record is from RNAcentral.